This 1007-nucleotide ribosomal RNA is filed under the name uncultured Bacillus sp. RNAcentral's name for it is "bacterial SSU rRNA". It matches the Rfam family "Bacterial small subunit ribosomal RNA", at positions 8 to 1004 of the family's 1533-position model. Lineage: Bacteria; Bacillati; Bacillota; Bacilli; Caryophanales; Bacillaceae. The record is from RNAcentral.
AGAGUUUGAUCCUGGCUCAGGACGAACGCUGGCGGCGUGCCUAAUACAUGCAAGUCGAGCGGACUUAAAAAGCUUGCUUUUUAAGUUAGCGGCGGACGGGUGAGUAACACGUGGGCAACCUGCCUGUAAGACUGGGAUAACUUCGGGAAACCGGAGCUAAUACCGGAUAAUCCUUUUCUACUCAUGUAGAAAAGCUGAAAGACGGUUUACGCUGUCACUUACAGAUGGGCCCGCGGCGCAUUAGCUAGUUGGUGAGGUAACGGCUCACCAAGGCGACGAUGCGUAGCCGACCUGAGAGGGUGAUCGGCCACACUGGGACUGAGACACGGCCCAGACUCCUACGGGAGGCAGCAGUAGGGAAUCUUCCGCAAUGGACGAAAGUCUGACGGAGCAACGCCGCGUGAGUGAUGAAGGUUUUCGGAUCGUAAAACUCUGUUGUUAGGGAAGAACAAGUACGAGAGUAACUGCUCGUACCUUGACGGUACCUAACCAGAAAGCCACGGCUAACUACGUGCCAGCAGCCGCGGUAAUACGUAGGUGGCAAGCGUUGUCCGGAAUUAUUGGGCGUAAAGCGCGCGCAGGCGGUCCUUUAAGUCUGAUGUGAAAGCCCACGGCUCAACCGUGGAGGGUCAUUGGAAACUGGGGGACUUGAGUGCAGAAGAGAAGAGUGGAAUUCCACGUGUAGCGGUGAAAUGCGUAGAGAUGUGGAGGAACACCAGUGGCGAAGGCGACUCUUUGGUCUGUAACUGACGCUGAGGCGCGAAAGCGUGGGGAGCAAACAGGAUUAGAUACCCUGGUAGUCCACGCCGUAAACGAUGAGUGCUAAGUGUUAGAGGGUUUCCGCCCUUUAGUGCUGCAGCAAACGCAUUAAGCACUCCGCCUGGGGAGUACGGCCGCAAGGCUGAAACUCAAAGGAAUUGACGGGGGCCCGCACAAGCGGUGGAGCAUGUGGUUUAAUUCGAGCAACGCGAGAACUUACAGGUCUGACAUCUCUGACAUCCUAGAGA